RNAcentral lists this ribosomal RNA (109 nucleotides) under Carlito syrichta (Philippine tarsier). The record is from RNAcentral. Lineage: Eukaryota; Metazoa; Chordata; Mammalia; Primates; Tarsiidae.
GUCUAUGGCCACCGCGCCCUGGACGCGCCCGAUCUCGGCUGAUCUCGGGAGUUAAGCAGGGUCAGGUCUGGUUCAUACUGGGAGGAAUCGAAUGUGAGCUGUGUAGAUA